This 709-nucleotide ribosomal RNA is filed under the name uncultured Bacillota bacterium. RNAcentral describes it as "bacterial SSU rRNA". It matches the Rfam family "Bacterial small subunit ribosomal RNA", at positions 61 to 774 of the family's 1533-position model. The record is from RNAcentral. Lineage: Bacteria; Bacillati; Bacillota.
GUCGAGUGCGCGGUUGUAGCAAUACAACUGGCGCACGGCGCACGGGUGCGUAACACGUGGGCAAUCUGCCCUCCGAUGGGGAAUAACUCCGGGAAACCGAAGCUAAUUCCGCAUAACAUUCCCUGGACUCCGGUUCGGGGAUUCAAAGCAGCAAUGCGUCGGAGGAGGAGCCCGCGCCCGAUUAGCUAGUUGGUGAGGUAACGGCUCACCAAGGCUAUGAUCGGUAGCUGGUCUGAGAGGAUGGCCAGCCACACUGGAACUGAGACACGGUCCAGACUCCUACGGGAGGCAGCAGUGGGGAAUCUUGCGCAAUGGGCGAAAGCCUGACGCAGCGACGCCGCGUGGGGGAUGAAGCUUCUCGGAGUGUAAACCCCUUUCGACCGGGACGAAUGCCCGCAAGGGAGUGACGGUACCGGUAGAAGAAGCCCCGGCUAACUACGUGCCAGCAGCCGCGGUAAGACGUAGGGGGCCAGCGUUGUUCGGAAUUACUGGGUGUAAAGGGUUCGUAGGCGGUGUGGCAAGUCGGGAGUGAAAUUUCUGGGCUUAACUCAGAACCUGCUUCCGAAACUGCUGUGCUGGAGUGUGGGAGAGGCGCGUGGAAUUGCAGGUGUAGCGGUGAAAUGCGUAGAUAUCUGCAGGAACACCCGUGGCGAAAGCGGCGCGCUGGACCACUACUGACGCUGAGGAACGAAAGCUAGGGGAGCAAACA